Molecule: long non-coding RNA, 468 nt
Organism: Poecilia reticulata (guppy)
Lineage: Eukaryota; Metazoa; Chordata; Actinopteri; Cyprinodontiformes; Poeciliidae
Source: RefSeq, a predicted model, not a curated record
CUGAAUUCUGCAGUGACAAACGUUAAAGAACUAUGAAAACACACAGAAGAUUCAUUUCUGAACAACGGACUUAAACGACAGAACAGAAUAACAAUGAGUGAGCGAAGGAACCCUAUUUUUGAGGAUUGGUUGGAGGAUCUUAAAACGAUCAGCAGAAUGACAUUUGACCAAUUCAACGAACGUCUGGAUGCCAUUCAGAACAUAUGUAGAGCUCAACGCAUUGGACUAACGUUGGCCAGCAUGUCUAGGCCUGAGUUUGACGAAUUCCAAGCCUUUCUGUCUGAGUACAUCCAGGAGCUGGAAAGGCCUCAAGAAAGAUCUCAGAAAGCCAAGAAAUUGGUUAAAAAUGCCGUGAAAUGUGCAGGAAAAUGGCUGUUCAGUACACUUCUGAAAAUGCACCAGAACGGCUCUCUGAGGUACUGGAUCGACAUCUGGUAUUUUUAAAUAAACAACUGUUAUGAAAAGCUA